Cynocephalus volans (Philippine flying lemur) is the source of this 1293-nucleotide long non-coding RNA. RefSeq lists it as uncharacterized. The record is from RefSeq and is a predicted model, not a curated record. Lineage: Eukaryota; Metazoa; Chordata; Mammalia; Dermoptera; Cynocephalidae. The transcript has 3 exons.
UGGUUGUGGAGGGUGUCGCGAUGGGCGGGGCGGGGCGUCUGUGGUCCUCCUGGAGCCUUGGGUCCACCGCAGUUUUGCAGAACACUGAUAUCUAUGGACUCUAAAAUGGACUUCAUUUAAAGAAACCCACGGACCAUUAAUGGACAAAAACAUGAAUCAAUUUGUACUGUGGCAUUCAAAUCCUAGCACUUUGGGAGAGCAUCGAGUACCAAGAGACUAUGACCUACCAUCAUUACACAUUCAAGAUCUGAGUUUGAAUAACCUCAUCAAGACUUAGAGCCUCUUCAAAAGCUUCAAGUCACAUCUGCCUUAAAGCUCUCCAUUGAAUCCUCUCACAAAAAUAAAAGCUUAAAGGGACUAAAAUUCAUUAAUAUAUUCCAUUUUAUAUCUAUUCCUCUGACUUCUUUACAAUUUUCUUGGCCUUUAGGGUCUUUCAUAUUGCAAAUGAUCCUUUACACUAGAGCCAAGAAACAGUGUGGUCCAAAAAAUAUAUGUUCUGUGGCCAUAAGUUUUCAUUGGUAGAGAAGCAUAAAUUUGGCAUGGUAAGUUUAGAAUUAGGUCCUUUGUUGUAUCCUGUAAAAAGUUGAAUCAACAAUAAGAAAAUAAGAAUGAAGUGUUAAAAAUAUUUGAGGUUAGAUUAUACUCUCAGAAGGUAUGUGGUUUAGAGAAAAGAGCCUUCAUCCUAAAAGUGGAUGGUUCUUACUCUAUCGCUGCCUCUUACUAAGUAUGUGAUAACUGGGAGUCACUUAACCUCUCUGAACCUUUACUACAUUAUCUGUAAAGUGAAUUGACAGUAUUUUCCCCACCUACCUCACAGGGUUGUUGUGAGGAUCAAAUGAAAUAAUGUACAUAAAAGACUUUUACGUAAAAUGUGCAAUAUAGGCUUAAGGUUCUGUUUUGUAGGGAAAACUUAUAUAGUUGCAAGCCAUUGCCUUAGCUCUUAGGCCUGGGAAGGUAGGCGAUUCAGGCACACUGAAAGCAUGUACCAUGUCCAGGCUGGAUCCAUGGUAACAGGGUUAUGUUAACAUUUUUUUUCUUUGAAUACACAGAAUACUACCAUGGGCUAAUUCUGGAGCAAGACUUUACAUUUCCCUAAAACUAUAAAUUAGCAUUGAUAACACUCUAGAAUAGUUUAUGGGUUGUAACACAAUAGUGGUUUGAAAGAUAAAUUAUGACCAGCAUUUUUUUUAAAUGAAAGAACAUAGAGCAGAAUACUUAGUAAUGCAUCCCACAAGGUAAGAGUAAGAAUUGUUUAAGUUAUAUAUAUGUGUAAAUGUGUGUGUAUUUGGUCAU